AACGAACGCUGGCGGCAUGCCUAACACAUGCAAGUCGAACGAGACCUUCGGGUCUAGUGGCGCACGGGUGCGUAACGCGUGGGAACCUGCCCUUAGGUUCGGAAUAACUCCCUGAAAGGGGUGCUAAUACCGGAUAAUGUCUUCGGACCAAAGAUUUAUCGCCUUUGGAUGGGCCCGCGUUGGAUUAGCUAGUUGGUAGGGUAAAAGCCUACCAAGGCGACGAUCCAUAGCUGGUCUGAGAGGAUGAUCAGCCACACUGGGACUGAGACACGGCCCAGACUCCUACGGGAGGCAGCAGUGGGGAAUAUUGGAAAAUGGGCGAAAGCCUGAUCCAGCAAUGCCGCGUGAGUGAUGAAGGCCUUAGGGUUGUAAAGCUCUUUUACCCGGGAUGAUAAUGACAGUACCGGGAGAAUAAGCUCCGGCUAACUCCGUG
Molecule: ribosomal RNA, 433 nt
Filed under: uncultured bacterium
Lineage: Bacteria
Description: partial 16S ribosomal RNA
Rfam family: Bacterial small subunit ribosomal RNA
Source: RNAcentral